Rachicladosporium sp. CCFEE 5018 is the source of this 99-nucleotide non-coding RNA. The record is from Rfam. NCBI's taxonomy places the organism in Eukaryota, Fungi, Ascomycota, Dothideomycetes, Cladosporiales, Cladosporiaceae.
GCUGCGAUGUCGGAGUGGUUAACGAGUCAGACUUGAACCCCUACGUGGGCCUAGACAUCUGAUGCCUUCGGGCGCGCAGGUUCGAAUCCGUUCGUCGCC